UCCGCCUCCGGGCGCGCUCCCGCGACCCGUAGCACUUGGUCUUGCGACCUCAGCCGACGCCUCCGUCGGCGCGGAUGGGACGUACUCGCUAGCCUCAGGUGGCCACGGUGAGGGGAUCCACGCGCCCCUCACCACCAGGGUUGGGCUUCGCCUGGCCGCUGGGCCUAGUGACGAGUCCUUGGGGUCCGCUCGAGAGAGCCGCCCCUCUUUGGGAAACAACCCGGGUUGCCGCUUGGAUUGGGGUCCCCAGGGGUCUCCAGUAUCCCGGUCCUGCUCAUGGUCGUUCGAAGAACCUCUUAGGGCCCAGAGAUCUGGGCGUUGGCAAAACAAUUUACCAUAAAAGCGAUGCCCGGUGGUGCAGGAGAAAUGAUACUGGCCACUUUUAGGUUAGAUGCAGGGGACCAGGGGCCGCAAGGCCGUUCUCUCGCCCUGCGCACAGCCCUGCUGCUCCCUGCCCUCUCCUCGAUCUGCACCCAGAGCGGCGGGCCUCUGUCCCCAAGGAGCCUGGGCUGCACCGUGGAGCCCAGGAGGCCUAGGUUCCUUCUCCCGAAGCCUCGCCAGGGGUUUCGUGGCCUGCUGCUUGGGGCUUGACAGGCUUUCCUCUGCCACUCGUGCCAGGCUCUGGGAAUGGCACCACCCCUACCCAGGUCUCCUGCUGUCGUCACCCUGCGUGGCCCUCCUGCUGUUCCCUGGGGCUCUGCAGCAGGUGUCCCUUCAGCAGACUCUGCCUGGUGCCAGAGAACGCCUUCCAUUCCUGCCAGACCCCGAUGGCUUCUGCCACACACGGGGCCAGCUCAGGAGGACACAGGGUCAGGAGCCAGGUGGAGGCGCGGUGUCACGGAGGUGCCCUGUCCAGCCAUGGCCUGGAAAGUCCUGACACAGUUAAUUUUGGAAACUCCAUCCUUCUGUACAGUAGUUGGCUUAAAACAAAUUCAAGCUCAUGGAUCCUGAGAGAUGGCACUGUUGGGAGUGGUCCAGGAAAGAUUUCCUCACUCAAAAGGGAGUGAAAGAGGCUGUCCCUGCUUCCUGCUGAACGCUAUCAGGUGAUGUGAAGCCUUCUUGAGACCGUGAGGAGCAUCCUGAUGGUGGGGACAGCAGCAUGGAAAGAUGGGGAGAGCCUGGGUCCUUACUGACUCCAUCAGACCCUUAACCCAUGUCAUUCCCCAGCCCAGAUGUUGUUAGGAGAGAUAAUAAAUGUCUCUAUUUCAA
Cavia porcellus (domestic guinea pig) is the source of this 1209-nucleotide long non-coding RNA. RefSeq lists it as uncharacterized. The transcript has 2 exons. The record is from RefSeq and is a predicted model, not a curated record. NCBI's taxonomy places the organism in Eukaryota, Metazoa, Chordata, Mammalia, Rodentia, Caviidae.